CAAAACAAGGAUUCUCCUUCGAGGAAGAUACGUAUGGAAGAGAACAUACCCAUCACUCCUUAAUCUCUGAAGCUCUGCAUCUCUGCGCUUCUUCAGCAACCAAGAAAUGGUGUUCAACACAUUUAUUCCCUCUCCACAACAAGCUCCGAUCAGGGAUCAAACAACACUUGCAAAAUUGAGAGAUAUGAGGAUUCCACGAAUGCAUCAGUUGAGCUACGGGGACUUUGCCAUGCAAAAUUCUCCAUGCUAAGAAAGAGAACAUGAAAGUGGUUAGUAGGUGAGGAGAAUUUGGGAAGAAAUAUUUGGAUCUUAGCAUCAUUCAAGUGAAGUUGAAGCAUGUCCUCAUUUGUCUCGAGAGCAUAGAUGUCUUUUAUUUCUCUUAUUGAAGUAUUGCAAUAGACUAAGUAUAUUAUUAUUGUAUGGGCUGUGUCCCAAGUACUCUUGUGUCUAAGCUUUAUGAGAUGGAUACUUAG
Solanum pennellii is the source of this 473-nucleotide long non-coding RNA. RefSeq lists it as uncharacterized. The record is from RefSeq and is a predicted model, not a curated record. The transcript is spliced from 3 exons. NCBI's taxonomy places the organism in Eukaryota, Viridiplantae, Streptophyta, Magnoliopsida, Solanales, Solanaceae.